UGGGCAAUCUUGCACAAUGGGCGGAAGCCUGAUGCAGCGACGCCGCGUGAGGGAUGACGGCCUUCGGGUUGUAAACCUCUUUCAGUAGGGACGAAGCGUAAGUGACGGUACCUGCAGAAGAAGCACCGGCUAACUACGUGCCAGCAGCCGCGGUAAUACGUAGGGUGCGAGCGUUGUCCGGAAUUACUGGGCGUAAAGAGCUCGUAGGCGGUUUGUCACGUCGUCUGUGAAAUCCUAGGGCUUAACCCUGGACGUGCAGGCGAUACGGGCUGACUUGAGUACUACAGGGGAGACUGGAAUUUCUGGUGUAGCGGUGGAAUGCACAGAUAUCAGGAAGAACACCGAUGGCGAAGGCAGGUCUCUGGGUAGUAACUGACGCUGAGGAGCGAAAGCAUGGGUAGCGAACAGG
Molecule: ribosomal RNA, 409 nt
Filed under: Verrucomicrobiota bacterium
Lineage: Bacteria; Pseudomonadati; Verrucomicrobiota
Description: Verrucomicrobia bacterium partial 16S ribosomal RNA
Rfam family: Bacterial small subunit ribosomal RNA
Source: RNAcentral